Molecule: ribosomal RNA, 911 nt
Filed under: Ralstonia sp.
Lineage: Bacteria; Pseudomonadati; Pseudomonadota; Betaproteobacteria; Burkholderiales; Burkholderiaceae
Description: bacterial SSU rRNA
Rfam family: Bacterial small subunit ribosomal RNA
Source: RNAcentral
CUAGAUUGAUGGCGAGUGGCGAACGGGUGAGUAAUACAUCGGAACGUGCCCUGUAGUGGGGGAUAACUAGUCGAAAGAUUAGCUAAUACCGCAUACGACCUGAGGGUGAAAGUGGGGGACCGCAAGGCCUCAUGCUAUAGGAGCGGCCGAUGUCUGAUUAGCUAGUUGGUGAGGUAAAGGCUCACCAAGGCGACGAUCAGUAGCUGGUCUGAGAGGACGAUCAGCCACACUGGGACUGAGACACGGCCCAGACUCCUACGGGAGGCAGCAGUGGGGAAUUUUGGACAAUGGGCGAAAGCCUGAUCCAGCAAUGCCGCGUGUGUGAAGAAGGCCUUCGGGUUGUAAAGCACUUUUGUCCGGAAAGAAAUCGCACUUACUAAUACUAGGUGUGGAUGACGGUACCGGAAGAAUAAGGACCGGCUAACUACGUGCCAGCAGCCGCGGUAAUACGUAGGGUCCAAGCGUUAAUCGGAAUUACUGGGCGUAAAGCGUGCGCAGGCGGUUGUGCAAGACCGAUGUGAAAUCCCCGAGCUUAACUUGGGAAUUGCAUUGGUGACUGCACGGCUAGAGUGUGUCAGAGGGGGGUAGAAUUCCACGUGUAGCAGUGAAAUGCGUAGAGAUGUGGAGGAAUACCGAUGGCGAAGGCAGCCCCCUGGGAUAACACUGACGCUCAUGCACGAAAGCGUGGGGAGCAACAGGAUUAGAUACCCUGGUAGUCCACGCCCUAAACGAUGUCAACUAGUUGUUGGGGAUUCAUUUCCUUAGUAACGUAGCUAACGCGUGAAGUUGACCGCCUGGGGAGUACGGUCGCAAGAUUAAAACUCAAAAGGAAUUGACGGGGGACCCCGCACAAGCGGUGGAUGAUGUGGAUUUAAUUCGAUGCAACGCCGAAAAACCUUACCUUACCCUUG